AACGCGAAGAACCUUACCUGGGCUUGAACUGUGGUGGACCGUCCUGGAAACAGGGCCUCUCCUUCGGGAGCCGCCAUAGAGGUGCUGCAUGGCUGUCGUCAGCUCGUGCCGUGAGGUGUUUGGUUAAGUCCAGCAACGAGCGCAACCCUUAUCAUUAGUUGCCAACACGUAAAGGUGGGAACUCUAAUGAGACUGCCUGGGUUAACCAGGAGGAAGGUGAGGAUGACGUCAAGUCCGCAUGGCCCUUAUGCCUGGGGCUACACACGUGCUACAAUGGUCGGUACAGAAGGCAGCAGAACCGCAAGGCGAAGCAAAUCCCUAAAGCCGAUCUCAGUUCAGAUUGUAGUCUGCAACUCGACUACAUGAAGACGGAAUUGCUAGUAAUGGCAGGUCAGCAACACUGCCGUGAAUACGUUCCCGGGCCUUGUACACACCGAGACGAC
RNAcentral lists this ribosomal RNA (443 nucleotides) under uncultured bacterium. RNAcentral's name for it is "bacterial SSU rRNA". It matches the Rfam family "Bacterial small subunit ribosomal RNA", at positions 958 to 1398 of the family's 1533-position model. The record is from RNAcentral.